ACUCGAGUUGAGAAAGAGGGCUAGGCCAAGGAUAGGAGGGCUUUCAGGGACUGGGGAAGACGGGUGGAUUAUAGAGCUAGGGGCAGAUCAGAGGUUUGUCCAUUGGGAUUGGGCAUGGACGAGCCUCGACUGGGCCAGCAUUGAUGAAAAAAAAACUUAUCCCAUCGCAUCAUUAACCGGUGUAGGAUUAAAGAUAAGGUCCAGGAUUCGAGUCAAAUCGACCUUCCCUCUCAUCUCAGGGUGA
Molecule: non-coding RNA, 244 nt
Organism: Vicia faba (fava bean)
Lineage: Eukaryota; Viridiplantae; Streptophyta; Magnoliopsida; Fabales; Fabaceae
Source: the annotation of a GenBank genome assembly